AUGGACACGAUGAGGACCCCAGCACAGGGCCUGGCGUUCGGAUGCUCCAAACACUGGCUCUCGUCCUGGCUGGCUCAGCCCUGCUCGGCACCAGCCCAGUGGGCCCCGGUGGGCGCUUCCCGCCUGGAGGACACCCAGCCUCGGGCUGAGCUCUCUGGAGCCCACCUGAGUCCAGCCCCUUCCCAGCGGCCUGCAGCAGGCUCCUGUGGGCCAGGCGCCCUCUCCUGCUGCCUGAGGGCCAGCUGGACGCGAGGGCAGACCAGCCCGUGGGCCGCUUACAGCAGCCUGUACAGCCCUGGGCAGCGCCUGGCCCAGGGGACACCAGGUGGCCUAGUUCACAGGCCACUCACAAGCCUGGGAGGGCCCCUUAGGUCAGACUCAGCCCGACUGAGGUCUGGUGCCCGCAGGCCAGGCCCUUGGGAAAGGGGCAGUGGGGUUUGGAUGAGGGAGACUGAGCCCCGGUUCCCCGCAGUCCCCAUCUGCCCUCAGAGACCUGUGGGCCCUGAGCCUGGGCCCUGCUGCGGGUGUGGUCAGGGCGGGGUCAGCUUUGCUUGGGAACCCCGCCCGCUUGAAGACGGUUUUAUCCACAUCCUUAAAGCCAGCUCUUGCGCUGCGGGGUUCCUGACCAGCCCCGAAAGAGGCUGUACCAGGGUCAGCCAGGGAGUGGGGGCGGGGCAGGGGAGGGGCCUGGAGCGGGAGUGGGACGUGUCCAGGGACCAGGGUGCAGAGAAGGGCUCAGGCUCAGAGCGCACAGAGACUGGGGAGAGAAGUGUUCAGAGAGGGCCCGGCACAGGGAGGCGAGCACUCCGAGGAGAAGGGGUCCCUGAGAAGGACCCAGGCUGGGAGGAGAGAGGGUCGUGGAGGGAAGGGAGGCCGGUUGAGAGGGUCAGAGCAGAGCCGGGCUUCACGGGAGGAAGGGCUCAGAGCACAGCCUGGGGGGAGAACAGGGGUUCGAGGGAGACGAGGGAGGGAACAGGCUGCCACACAGAAGGGCAGCUUCAGGGGGUGGCGGGGUUGGAGGUUCUGGGCUCCAUGGGGGCCGGCAGAUGGGUGAAGAGGACCCAGCUCAGAGAGGGCCACUGCGCAGUGAAGUGGGGACUCAGGGCGCAGCAGGGGGGCUGGGGUUUCUCCAUGGCAGAGGGUAUCCUUGGGACUUUUGCAGGAAGGGGAAGCCACUUGGGGGCAAGUGUCAAAGAGAUAAUGAAAGCAAGGUGGGGUAGACGGGGGCUGGCAGGCUGA
RNAcentral lists this long non-coding RNA (1239 nucleotides) under Delphinapterus leucas (beluga whale). Its description in RNAcentral is "lncRNA (ENSDLEG00000005752.1)". The record is from RNAcentral. Lineage: Eukaryota; Metazoa; Chordata; Mammalia; Artiodactyla; Monodontidae.